UACGAAGGGUGCAAGCGUUAAUCGGAAUUAUUGGGCGUAAAGGGCGCGUAGGCGGCCUGGCAAGUGGAAGGUGAAAUCCCUCGGCUUAACCGAGGAACUGCCCUCCAAACUGCUUGGCUUGAGUCCGGGAGAGGUGAGUGGAAUUCCCAGUAUAGCGGUGAAAUGCGUAGAUAUUGGGAGGAACACCAGUGGCGAAGGCGGCUCACUGGACCGGAACUGACGCUGAGGCGCGAAAGCGUGGGGAGCAAACGGG
Molecule: ribosomal RNA, 253 nt
Filed under: uncultured bacterium
Lineage: Bacteria
Description: partial 16S ribosomal RNA
Rfam family: Bacterial small subunit ribosomal RNA
Source: RNAcentral